UGGGAAUGGGAGUUGUCUACUUGUUCAAGCCU
This 32-nucleotide non-coding RNA is filed under the name Mus musculus (house mouse). The record is from RNAcentral. Lineage: Eukaryota; Metazoa; Chordata; Mammalia; Rodentia; Muridae.